GUUUAUAUAGUUUAAAAAAAACAAUACAUUUUCAUUGUAUAGAUAAUGUUUUAUUAUAUUUAUAAAUA
RNAcentral lists this transfer RNA (68 nucleotides) under Conocephalus gladiatus. RNAcentral's name for it is "tRNA-Glu". Lineage: Eukaryota; Metazoa; Arthropoda; Insecta; Orthoptera; Tettigoniidae. The record is from RNAcentral.